Long non-coding RNA from Cyprinus carpio (common carp), 1637 nucleotides. The record is from Ensembl. Lineage: Eukaryota; Metazoa; Chordata; Actinopteri; Cypriniformes; Cyprinidae.
GACUGGAGCAAAGAGAGCAAAAAAAGCACUUGCUAAAUGGAGGACUACUUUGAGAUGGCUGCUAUUCUCCGGCUUAUUGCCUCCUGUCGGCCAUGGUUUCACAUGAGGUCCGGGGUGUCAGGUCCGCUUCCACCAAUAAAGGCUGUGAUUGACACUAGCGGGAGAGACUUGAGCUCGGAAAAGAAACUGAAUCUCAAUGUAUGAGGGAAAAUCUAAAAAAAAAAAAACAGCAUUGGAGGACAAAGUCAUGCUUCGGCCAUACAUCUGGAAACACUCUAAACCAACAUCCUGGUAUAAAUUUGCAAAACGCAAUACAGGCCGGAUUGUGCGCGGGACGGACACGGGGCGCAUACAAAUGGCCCCCCGUCUAAAAUACCCCCUGUUUCUCUUCGGCCUCAGUAGGAGAGCCUGCGUUUUUUACCGAAGGGAGAAUAAAGUUUCAAGUGCAUGGCAUUUGAAGGUAAGGGAGUGAAAUCGGAGGCUGGUCGUUGGGGAUAAGGCAAGGCUGGGAAAGAGGGAAGUUGGCAGUAGUGCCCAGCCAGACUCUGUGCCUUGAGCUCCCCCCUCCCUGCACCAGGUGUCUGCUACAUUUAAAUGAUACUAUUAUUCAUAGACAAGAGAGCAGGGUAUUAAAAGUCCCCCCAAAAAAUCAUUUGCAAUUGAAUACAGAUAUAAUCCUGGAAAUAUAAGUCUCCAUUUAGGCCUUGCCAUUAAGCUAACAAGGAGCCCUUUGUACAACAUGUGUGUAUUAAUCACGGUCAGGGGAAAGGGGCAGGAAGAGAGAGAGUGGGAGAGAAAAUAGAAAGCGAGUGAGCGAGGGAGGGAAAAAGAGGGAGAGAGAGAACACCAUUCGUGUGUGUUCACAUGCAAAUUGAAAUGUUGCUCAUCAAAAACGAGCUUAUCACUUUCUCUCUUGUUCUCGGCAGACUUGGCGGGCCGACGCGAACCCGAAGCGCUUCAAAUGGGGAUGAACUGAAAAUUUAUUUGCAUUUGUGAAAUUUCAACACAUACUUGAUUUUUUUUCAGCUGCGCAAUCUGAAGUGCACGAGACGUAAAGGAAGCACACACUGCGUGCAGAUGUCACAACGACACACAGGAAUUCUUACAAUGAGCCCGGGUUUCUCAAACCUACUGUGUGGGUUUCAUUUUCCCGCAGAUCGCUUUGAUUUGUGCACUUUUUCAAUGUGGCAAAUAGAGAUUUUGGAGGGCCCUCGAGGCAGCCCCCCAAUGCCUCUUACAAAACUCCUCUCCAGCAAUCAUUACAUCACCAUUUCUCUAAGCCGAUUUUCAGCAAGUCUGGCUCUGUUAUUAAAAUAGUAAUUAAUUUUUGUCUGAGGGAACAAAAGCAAGUUUUUUGUCCCCCACCAAGUGUCCCUGAAGAGACCAGGGGUGUCAGUGAGGUCCUUUCUAUCUAGUCUAGGGUCUCUAGAUGUAAUCCCCUCUAGUCUGGUACAGUAAGAGCGCUUUGAUAAUGGGACAGAAGCAGACACCCACACCGGAUCGAUCUGGAUCUUGGGAUGCAUUUGAUAGACUGGUGUCACAAGUGAGGAUCAACAAUCACAAACAAACACACUCCACGAAUGCUUUUGCAGUAUAGACUUAAUAAAAAACUCACCCUCAAGUUGUUCUAAACCUGU